GAUGAACGCUAGCGGCAGGCCUAACACAUGCAAGUCGAGGGGUAGAGUUAGCUUGCUAACUUGAGACUGGCGCACGGGUGCGUAACGCGUAUGCAAUCUACCUUGUACAGGGGGAUAGCCCAGAGAAAUUUGGAUUAAUACCCCAUGGUGUUUAGAAGUGGCAUCCCUUUUUUACUAAAGUUCCAACGGUACAAGAUGAGCAUGCGUCCCAUUAGCUAGUUGGUAUGGUAACGGCAUACCAAGGCUAUGAUGGGUAGGGGUCCUGAGAGGGAGAUCCCCCACACUGGUACUGAGACACGGACCAGACUCCUACGGGAGGCAGCAGUGAGGAAUAUUGGUCAAUGGUCGCAAGACUGAACCAGCCAUGCCGCGUGCAGGAAGACGGUCCUAUGGAUUGUAAACUGCUUUUAUACAGGAAGAAACCCUCUCACGUGUGGGAGCUUGACGGUACUGUAUGAAUAAGCAUCGGCUAACUCCGUGCCAGCCGCCGCGGUAA
RNAcentral lists this ribosomal RNA (496 nucleotides) under uncultured bacterium. Its description in RNAcentral is "partial 16S ribosomal RNA". It matches the Rfam family "Bacterial small subunit ribosomal RNA", at positions 28 to 523 of the family's 1533-position model. The record is from RNAcentral.